RNAcentral lists this transfer-messenger RNA (350 nucleotides) under Oscillospiraceae. RNAcentral describes it as "Ruthenibacterium merdavium Standard tmRNA". It matches the Rfam family "transfer-messenger RNA". Rfam says of the family: Bacterial tmRNA, also known as 10Sa RNA or SsrA, is named for its dual tRNA and mRNA-like properties. Its role is to liberate the mRNA from a stalled ribosome. RNAcentral also lists the same sequence under 1 other name. The record is from RNAcentral. Lineage: Bacteria; Bacillati; Bacillota; Clostridia; Eubacteriales.
GGGGAUGUAAAGGUUUCGACGGGGAGAGGAAAGCGAGAGCAGCGGGUAGUGUUCGGGGGACACACUUUAAACUCCUCCAAAAAAAUAGCUAACAACAAUAAAUUAGCUGUCGCUGCCUAAUUAUAGGCGGCUGUCCUGCCCACUCCGGCACCGUGUGGGGCCAGGGCAUCAUUGAGGUGCCGUACGUGAACAGCCCUAAGCUUUGCAGGCUGUCAUGACUGAAUGAAGCUACCAAUGCACCAGCGCGUUUAUCCGCUUGAUGCAAAGGGAAUGUUGUAGAUAAACUGCACCCGGAGAUACUAGCGUGGACCUCUUUUCGGACACGGGUUCGACUCCCGUCAUCUCCACCA